GACGAACGCUGGCGGCGUGCUUAACACAUGCCAGUCGAACGGAAAGGCCCUGCUUGCAGGGUACUCGAGUGGCGAACGGGUGAGUAACACGUGGGUGAUCUGCCCCGCACUUCGGGAUAAGCCUGGGAAACUGGGUCUAAUACCGGAUAGGAGCCAUUUUUAGUGUGAUGGUUGGAAAGUUUUUUCGGUGUAGGAUGAGCUCGCGGCCUAUCAGCUUGUUGGUGGGGUAAUGGCCUACCAAGGCGGCGACGGGUAGCCGGCCUGAGAGGGUGGACGGCCACAUUGGGACUGAGAUACGGCCCAGACUCCUACGGGAGGCAGCAGUGGGGAAUAUUGCACAAUGGGCGCAAGCCUGAUGCAGCGACGCCGCGUGGGGGAUGACGGCCUUCGGGUUGUAAACUCCUUUCGCUAGGGACGAAGCUUUUUGUGACGGUACCUAGAUAAGAAGCACCGGCUAACUACGUG
RNAcentral lists this ribosomal RNA (465 nucleotides) under uncultured bacterium. Its description in RNAcentral is "partial 16S ribosomal RNA". It matches the Rfam family "Bacterial small subunit ribosomal RNA", at positions 28 to 507 of the family's 1533-position model. The record is from RNAcentral.